This 85-nucleotide transfer RNA is filed under the name Felis catus (domestic cat). It matches the Rfam family "tRNA". Rfam says of the family: Transfer RNA (tRNA) molecules are approximately 80 nucleotides in length. Their secondary structure includes four short double-helical elements and three loops (D, anti-codon, and T loops). The record is from Rfam by way of RNAcentral. Lineage: Eukaryota; Metazoa; Chordata; Mammalia; Carnivora; Felidae.
CCCCGGGUAGCUCAGUCGGUUGAGCGUCUGACUUCAGCUCAGGUCACGAUCUCGAGGUUUGUGGGUUCUAGUCCCACAUCGGGCU